CCUACGGGGGGCAGCAGUGGGGAAUAUUGGACAAUGGGGGCAACCCUGAUCCAGCCAUGCCGCGUGUGUGAAGAAGGCCUUAGGGUUGUAAAGCACUUUAAGCGAGGAGGAAGGGCUCUGGGUUAAUACCUUGGAGCAUUGACGUUACUCGCAGAAUAAGCACCGGCUAACUCUGUGCCAGCAGCCGCGGUAAUACAGAGGGUGCGAGCGUUAAUCGGAAUUACUGGGCGUAAAGCGCGCGUAGGCGGUUGUGUAAGUUGGAGGUGAAAUCCCCGGGCUUAACCUGGGCACUGCCUUCAAAACUGCACGGCUAGAGUAUGGGAGAGGAAGGUAGAAUUCCAGGUGUAGCGGUGAAAUGCGUAGAGAUCUGGAGGAAUACCGAUGGCGAAGGCAGCCUUCUGGCCUAAUACUGACGCUGAGGUGCGAAAGCAUGGGGAGCAAACAGGAUUAGAUACCCCAGUAGUC
RNAcentral lists this ribosomal RNA (465 nucleotides) under uncultured bacterium. Its description in RNAcentral is "bacterial SSU rRNA". It matches the Rfam family "Bacterial small subunit ribosomal RNA", at positions 338 to 795 of the family's 1533-position model. The record is from RNAcentral.